RNAcentral lists this ribosomal RNA (328 nucleotides) under Thermocyclops thailandensis. RNAcentral describes it as "SSU rRNA". It matches the Rfam family "Eukaryotic small subunit ribosomal RNA", at positions 1329 to 1681 of the family's 1831-position model. The record is from RNAcentral. Lineage: Eukaryota; Metazoa; Arthropoda; Copepoda; Cyclopoida; Cyclopidae.
UAACGAACGAGACUCCGUCCUGCUAACUAGUCGUAGCGUCACUCUUGCGCUGCGGUUUCUUCUUAGAGGGACUGGCGGCAUUUAGCCGCACGAGAUGGAGCAAUAACAGGUCUGUGAUGCCCUUAGAUGUUCUGGGCUGCACGCGUGUUACACUGAAGGGAUCAGCGUGUCCUCCCUGACCGAGAGGUCCGGGUAACCCGCUGAACCCCCUUCGUGGUAGGGAUCGGAGCUUGCAAUUAUUCUCCGUGAACCAGGAAUGCCCAGUAAGCGCAAGUCAUAAGCUUGCGUUGAUUACGUCCCUGCCCUUUGUACACACCGCCCGUCGCUA